GACGAACGCUGGCGGCGUGCUUAACACAUGCAAGUCGAACGGAAAGGCCCUGCUUUUGUGGGGUGCUCGAGUGGCGAACGGGUGAGUAACACGUGAGUAACCUGCCCUUGACUUUGGGAUAACUUCAGGAAACUGGGGCUAAUACCGGAUAGGAGCUCCUGCUGCAUGGUGGGGGUUGGAAAGUUUCGGCGGUUGGGGAUGGACUCGCGGCUUAUCAGCUUGUUGGUGGGGUAGUGGCUUACCAAGGCUUUGACGGGUAGCCGGCCUGAGAGGGUGACCGGCCACAUUGGGACUGAGAUACGGCCCAGACUCCUACGGGAGGCAGCAGUGGGGAAUAUUGCACACUGGGCGGAAGCCUGAUGCAGCAACGCCGCGUGCGGGAUGACGGCCUUCGGGUUGUAAACCGCUUUCGCCUGUGACGAAGCGUGAGUGACGGUAAUGUGUAAAGAAGCACCGGCUAACUACGUG
This 468-nucleotide ribosomal RNA is filed under the name uncultured bacterium. Its description in RNAcentral is "partial 16S ribosomal RNA". It matches the Rfam family "Bacterial small subunit ribosomal RNA", at positions 28 to 507 of the family's 1533-position model. The record is from RNAcentral.